Molecule: long non-coding RNA, 555 nt
Organism: Populus euphratica (Euphrates poplar)
Lineage: Eukaryota; Viridiplantae; Streptophyta; Magnoliopsida; Malpighiales; Salicaceae
Exons: 2
Source: RefSeq, a predicted model, not a curated record
GGUAGAAAAAAGAAAACAUAUGGAAUUGGUGUUCAUCUGCUGUCAAGGUGCAAUCAACUACUUGAGAGUAUAUCGACUAAGAGUGAUUCCACAUCUGUUAAUAUGGAUCGCGAAGGCUGUAGUAUUCGCGAGGUGAUGGCUGAGCUAUACUCAAUUCCUGGAGUUUCAAUUAGAGAUGAGUUCCACGACUUUGCUACAGAGUAUUUGAGUUUAAGAAGGAAAAGAGAAAUGUGGGCUAGUAUGGGUGAUAAGGAGCAAACGUUGAGAUGGCUGCAACGAAUGUAUGCACGCACUAAACGUGCUUAACUGACAUGAAUAAUGGGAUGCUGAUUUUAAAAAAGAGGUUUUUUUCAAUUGCCGAAGUUUAUCCGAGUCAUUGUAUUCUUCCACAUUUCGUGUAGAGAUAUAUGGGCAUUUCCAUUUGUGGUAAUUUGCGUACUGUUGUAUUUAUUUUAAACUGCUUUUCGGGAGCUAAUAUACUUGUAUGAGGAUAUUGCUGGUUUUUAAUGUUGUAUUUUAGUAAUGAAUUAAAACUAUCACUUCUGUUGUUAUUAA